Molecule: transfer RNA, 64 nt
Filed under: Cerastoderma edule
Lineage: Eukaryota; Metazoa; Mollusca; Bivalvia; Cardiida; Cardiidae
Description: tRNA-Asp
Source: RNAcentral
AAGGGUGUAGUUUAUGUAGAACAUUUGUUUGUCAGGCAAAAAGUCUUUAUUGAAAGUGCCCUUU